RNAcentral lists this ribosomal RNA (421 nucleotides) under uncultured bacterium. RNAcentral describes it as "bacterial SSU rRNA". It matches the Rfam family "Bacterial small subunit ribosomal RNA", at positions 28 to 446 of the family's 1533-position model. The record is from RNAcentral.
GACGAACGCUGGCGGCGUGCCUAACACAUGCAAGUCGAGCGAGUGAAUCUCCUUCGGGAGUGAAGCUAGCGGCGGACGGGUGAGUAACACGUGGGCAACCUGCCUCAUAGAGGGGAAUAGCCUUCCGAAAGGAAGAUUAAUACCGCAUAAGAUUGUAGCUUCGCAUGAAGUAGCAAUUAAAGGAGCAAUCCGCUAUGAGAUGGGCCCGCGGCGCAUUAGCUAGUUGGUGAGGUAACGGCUCACCAAGGCGACGAUCAGUAGCCGGCCUGAGAGGGCGACCGGGCCACAUUGGGACUGAGACACGGCCCAAAUCCUACGGGAGGCAGCAGUGGGGAAUAUUGCACAAUGGGCGAAAGCCUGAUGCAGCGACGCCGCGUGAGCGAUGAAGUAUUCGGGUAUGUAAAGCUCUAUCAGCAGGGAG